UACAGAGGGUGCUAGCGUUGUUCGGAAUCAUUGGGCGUAAAGGGCGUGUAGGCGGUUUGUUAAGUCAUGUGUGAAAUCCCUCGGCUCAACCGGGGAACGACGCAUGAAACUGGCAAGCUAGAGUACCAAAGAGGGGGGUGGAAUUCCCGGUGUAGCGGUGAAAUGCGCAGAUAUCGGGAGGAACACCAGUGGCGAAGGCGGCACUCUGGGCCGGAACUGACGCUGAGGAGCGAAAGCGUGGGUAGCAAACAGG
This 253-nucleotide ribosomal RNA is filed under the name uncultured bacterium. Its description in RNAcentral is "partial 16S ribosomal RNA". It matches the Rfam family "Bacterial small subunit ribosomal RNA", at positions 524 to 776 of the family's 1533-position model. The record is from RNAcentral.